CAAAAUUAUUAUUCAACAGCUCCAGGACUGUCUAUCUCCUCAUGUACAGAGACUGAAGGAGAGGAGGAUAACACAGAAGAAAACUCGAACAACAAGUCUGAAGGGAUGAAGGAAACUAAUUCAAAAACCUCCUGUGAACAACGUCUGGCCGACAAGACUAAGACAGAGAGGAAGGAACAAAAGGGUAACAAGAACAAGUUCAUUUCUUUCAUAAAAAAAAAAUGGAAUUCUCUGGAACAUCCCUCCGAACGUGCAGCAGGUCAGAAGCCUGUUGAGACCACUUCAGAGGAUCUGACAGACAAGUUGAAAGAAGAACAGGGUGAAGAUACUGGUCCUGAAGAACAGAAAGGAAACGAAGAACCCAAAAAACUACAGGGACUUCAUUAUGGCCGGUAUGAUCAGGGAGAUACAAAUGAUCUCAACUUACUCUUACGGAAAGAUUCCCAUGAUACAAGCUACAGUGAGGUAAGCAGCCAAAACUAAAAGUCCUAGCUUAGUAUUUUAAUGCAAUGUGAGCCUGCUGAUCUAAUUUGGCAUGUAUACAACAUUUGUCCACAGGAACGCAGCUUUGAACGGACUAUCAACACAAAAUCAUUUACUGGAGACAACAAGGUGUACCUUGACGAGAAGAUGAAAAUAACAAGUGUGAGUUUUGACCUGAAAAUCUCAACACAAACUGUCGACAGAUCAAAUUUGAUACUGGAUUCAAAUAAAAAGUUAUUUGUUAUUUUACAAUUCAAGACUCAAGGUUAUAAUAUUAAUUAAAGUAGAAAUAUGACAGUGUAGAAAUACUCGGUUACAAGUAAAAGCCAUGCAUUCAAAAUUGUACUUAAAGUGACUACAAGGAACAUUAUUCUAGUAGUAACAUCUUCAGAACCUGUUGUCUUUUACAGAGCUCUGCUAAGAAAAUGAUCACUGAAUACAAGGUGGAACUCAUCUACUGUCUGAUGGCGGAUCAUUCCAUUAUUCUGCAGCAUGCACAUGCCAAACAGAUCAUCACAGACAGACAAUAUCAGAAUAUAAGGGAAAAGUCUACCUCAACACCACAAGAAACUGUCACUGACCUGAUUGAUCACGUGAUUUUGAAGACUGGACCAAAAAGCUGGACUGGUUUCCUUGAUGUUCUCAAACUACCUGAUGUUCUGAGCACUUAUCCACAGCUCAAAGAAAUCAUAAAUAAAAUGCUGCGCAGCAAUAGUGGAAGCAGUGCAUAAGAUGUGAUUUUUGAUGCCAGACAGACAAAAGUGAUAUGAUUUAAAUAAGUCUGUUUAUGUUUUUUUUACAUGCCAGUUUUUCUUCUCAAAAUGUUAAGCAAUAUUUUACAAAUCCACCCUUUACCUUCUAAAAUGCACAUAGAAGGAUCACAGCAACAGUGUUUUCAUUUGAGAGAUUAUAACUAACAGUUGUUUUGUUUUAUGAAAAUAUGUCAGCAUAAAAUACUAAUCCUAGUUUUGAUGAAAUUAAAGACUGAAGGCCUCAACUUUUAUCUGUCAUUGGAUGCCAUGUUGAUACAUUUUGACUGGAUUUUCCUACAUGUACAUACUCAGCACAUUAAGGAUGCUGCUGAACAUAAUCUACAAAAUUGGUGAUUUCUUUGUUUUUGGGGGGUUGCCAUGGUAAUGAAAUGGUCAUUUUAAUUAUAGUUGGAACGACGACAGAACCACUUUGGAGUAUGUUGCCAGGUGUUAACAUAUCUGCCUGUGUAUAUAUAAUAAAUAAAUACAUUUUAAUUUUUUAAAGUUGCAUACAGAAUUUUAAAAAAUAUUUCAUUGUACAUAUGUUACUUUACAUACAUACAUACACACACAACAGAUUAGUUAUCGACUAUUAAAAUUAGGAAUUAGUUCAGCCAGUUUAUCUGUGGUAGUGUUUUCAACUUUGUUUUCUCAUCAUGUUUUUAUGUGUUGUCUUGACGAGCAGAUUAAUAAAUAAAAGUCCGAUUUCAGUACAUUUGAAUGAUAUAAUGGUUGAUGAAUGACUUUAAAUUACAUUUGAUUAUUAAUCUAGACUGGUGCUGAAACAACAGCUAAGUAUCUCGGGAAAACAUUUAGUUGUUGGUUUUUAUCUGUCCAUGAAUAAAGCUCAAACAGAGGGGCAAAAUACACAACACAGUGGAAAGAGUGUUCUGGGGACCUUAUUUCCCUCUGAGAACAGCUUGGACAAAGAAAUAUUUAUAGAGUCCUUUUGUGUUUUUAAAGGUAGCCUAUUCUCAGCAAGACACAGGGACAUUUUAGAACCAUCCUGUGGCGAUAAGUCCAUGUUUUUCAAAGUAUUGCAGUGUUUCAGGUGAUUGUGAGGCUGUUAUAAGCUAUUAUUAUUAUUAUUAUUAUUAUUAUUAUUAUUAUUAUUAUUAUUAUUAUUAUUAUUAUUAUUAUUAUUAUUAUUAUUAUUAUUAUUAUUAUUAUCAUCAUUAUUAUAAAAUCAACAAUGAGAACUAAAAGGGUGGGUUUGACUCGGAUGGACUGUUGACCAUCAUUUUACAUCUGAUCACUUUAUAAAAUGUGAUGUAUCACUGUAAAUAAGUAGUAGAAGACGAACUCUGAUCAUUAAUUUAUGUACCUAUGUUAUUUUUUUUUACAAGUGGGUAAGUCCUGCAUUCAAUUUAACUCCAGUAAAAGUAUAAAGGUAUUAACAGCAAAAGUAUCAAAUAGCAUUUAAAUGUUGUGAGGUGAAGUUUAUCUUAUCUGCUUUAUAUGUUUUUUAGGUGGUUUAGAUCAUAACAAUACAUCAUAUUUUAUAAACUGGUCAACUGUUUUGAAAGUAAAAUCAUAAUGUGAAUAAUGAUUCACCACAAAUUAUGAAUGAAGGAAAGAUUCUCGCGACGGUUUUAGAUGUACAAUAAUAGUUUAAAUACUUCAGACAGACGUGAGAAUGUACAGCAACAACUUCGAGAGUGAGAAUUCAGAAAAUGUUGUACACUGAGUAAACGUAUCAUGGAC
Long non-coding RNA from Sparus aurata (gilthead seabream), 2939 nucleotides. Lineage: Eukaryota; Metazoa; Chordata; Actinopteri; Spariformes; Sparidae. The record is from Ensembl.